RNAcentral lists this ribosomal RNA (471 nucleotides) under Triticum aestivum (bread wheat). RNAcentral's name for it is "partial small subunit ribosomal RNA". Lineage: Eukaryota; Viridiplantae; Streptophyta; Magnoliopsida; Poales; Poaceae. The record is from RNAcentral.
AUGGCCGACAGCGAUGCCGAGAGCUGCGGGCCGCUCGUGGCCGCCGACGACGUGAGGAGGGGGAUCUUCAACCGCCCGCGGGCCACUGGCAACCAGGAGGCGCUCUCUGACCCCUUCUUCGACCGCCCGCUCGAGGACCACUAUGAGCACCUCCCGUCCAGCUACUACAUCGACCUCGACGUGAACAAGGCCGUCGACGUGCUGCUGCACUGCCGAAUCCUCGCAGAGUGCGCCGCGGACCCCGACGAGAUCCACCCGCCCUCUCCCAUGUGUCCGCCCUGUCGUCCGUCCCCAAGCUAUGAAGGGACUUUCAUGAAUCAUAGCACUGGUCACGGAGGUUCUGCUGGAAACAAGUUCAGGAUGUCUCUAGGUCUGCCUGUAGCAGCCACUGUGAACUGCGCUGAUAACACUGCUGUUGCAUUUGGCGGAGCUGCCGCUGCCGCCCCAAAGGGCAACCUUCAUCAGACAUAA